This 512-nucleotide ribosomal RNA is filed under the name uncultured bacterium. RNAcentral describes it as "bacterial SSU rRNA". It matches the Rfam family "Bacterial small subunit ribosomal RNA", at positions 10 to 518 of the family's 1533-position model. The record is from RNAcentral.
AGUUGAUUAUGGCUCAGGAUGAAUGCUAGCGACAGGCCUAACACAUGCAAGUCGAGGGGCAGCACAAGGAGCAAUCUGAGGUGGCGACCGGCGCACGGGUGAGUAACACGUAUGCAACCUGCCUGUAAGCGGGGAAUAACCCGUUGAAAGACGGACUAAUACCGCAUAAUACUAAAUUACUGCAUGGUAAUUUAUUUAAACAUUUAUGGCUUACAGAUGGGCAUGCGCAUGAUUAGCUAGUUGGAGAGGUAACGGCUCCCCAAGGCAACGAUCAUUAGGGGUUCUGAGAGGAAGGUCCCCCACACUGGUACUGAGACACGGACCAGACUCCUACGGGAGGCAGCAGUGAGGAGUAUUGGUCAAUGGACGAGAGUCUGAACCAGCCAAGUCGCGUGCAGGAAGAAUGUCCUAUGGAUUGUAAACUGCUUUUGCAGGGGAAUAAAGUGCGGGACGUGUCCCUUUUUGUAUGUACCUUAUGAAUAAGGAUCGGCUAACUCCGUGCCAGCCGCCGC